This 1254-nucleotide ribosomal RNA is filed under the name Curtobacterium flaccumfaciens. RNAcentral describes it as "bacterial SSU rRNA". It matches the Rfam family "Bacterial small subunit ribosomal RNA", at positions 87 to 1354 of the family's 1533-position model. The record is from RNAcentral. Lineage: Bacteria; Bacillati; Actinomycetota; Actinomycetes; Micrococcales; Microbacteriaceae.
UGUGAUUAGUGGCGAACGGGUGAGUAACACGUGAGUAACCUGCCCCUGACUCUGGGAUAAGCGUUGGAAACGACGUCUAAUACUGGAUAUGAUCACUGGCCGCAUGGUCUGGUGGUGGAAAGAUUUUUUGGUUGGGGAUGGACUCGCGGCCUAUCAGCUUGUUGGUGAGGUAAUGGCUCACCAAGGCGACGACGGGUAGCCGGCCUGAGAGGGUGACCGGCCACACUGGGACUGAGACACGGCCCAGACUCCUACGGGAGGCAGCAGUGGGGAAUAUUGCACAAUGGGCGAAAGCCUGAUGCAGCAACGCCGCGUGAGGGAUGACGGCCUUCGGGUUGUAAACCUCUUUUAGUAGGGAAGAAGCGAGAGUGACGGUACCUGCAAAAAAAGCACCGGCUAACUACGUGCCAGCAGCCGCGGUAAUACGUAGGGUGCAAGCGUUGUCCGGAAUUAUUGGGCGUAAAGAGCUCGUAGGCGGUUUGUCGCGUCUGCUGUGAAAUCCCGAGGCUCAACCUCGGGCUUGCAGUGGGUACGGGCAGACUAGAGUGCGGUAGGGGAGAUUGGAAUUCCUGGUGUAGCGGUGGAAUGCGCAGAUAUCAGGAGGAACACCGAUGGCGAAGGCAGAUCUCUGGGCCGUAACUGACGCUGAGGAGCGAAAGCGUGGGGAGCGAACAGGAUUAGAUACCCUGGUAGUCCACGCCGUAAACGUUGGGCGCUAGAUGUAGGGACCUUUCCACGGUUUCUGUGUCGUAGCUAACGCAUUAAGCGCCCCGCCUGGGGAGUACGGCCGCAAGGCUAAAACUCAAAGGAAUUGACGGGGGCCCGCACAAGCGGCGGAGCAUGCGGAUUAAUUCGAUGCAACGCGAAGAACCUUACCAAGGCUUGACAUACACCGGAAACGGCCAGAGAUGGUCGCCCCCUUGUGGUCGGUGUACAGGUGGUGCAUGGUUGUCGUCAGCUCGUGUCGUGAGAUGUUGGGUUAAGUCCCGCAACGAGCGCAACCCUCGUUCUAUGUUGCCAGCGCGUUAUGGCGGGGACUCAUAGGAGACUGCCGGGGUCAACUCGGAGGAAGGUGGGGAUGACGUCAAAUCAUCAUGCCCCUUAUGUCUUGGGCUUCACGCAUGCUACAAUGGCCGGUACAAAGGGCUGCGAUACCGUAAGGUGGAGCGAAUCCCAAAAAGCCGGUCUCAGUUCGGAUUGAGGUCUGCAACUCGACCUCAUGAAGUCGGAGUCGCUAGUAAUCGCAGAUCAGCA